Pyrus x bretschneideri (Chinese white pear) is the source of this 1872-nucleotide RNA transcript. RefSeq lists it as uncharacterized. The record is from RefSeq and is a predicted model, not a curated record. Lineage: Eukaryota; Viridiplantae; Streptophyta; Magnoliopsida; Rosales; Rosaceae. The transcript has 9 exons.
UCUUUCAUAUGACUUAAAGGCUUCUUUUAUAUAGUUUUUGGACUUCACCACGUUAUAUAACAACACAUGAUAUUAGAAAAUUUGCCUGAAAAAUUUCUGCUGCGAAAGCCCUUUACAUCAAGUUACAUUUAAAAAAAAAAAAUUAAGGUAAUUUAGACUUAGGACUUGGCCAUCUUACAACCCCUGCCCUCCCACUACAGACAAAGCCUCGGGGGUCCCAGCAACUGUACUACCACAUUUUGCUCUCAUUUUCUCUACCUGUACCUCCACUUUCACCUCUCUAUCAGAUUGCAAAGAAGCCCAGCGGCGGUGCAUUUGGGUUUUACGUUAGUGGGUUCUUUCUCUCAGAGAGCCGGUGGUGGAUUAUGGGUUUCAGGUUGGUCGGCUCGUUCUCUCCGCCUUCACAUCUCUCCCUAUCAGAGUGCAAAGAAAGUCAACUGUGCGUUCUGAAUUUUAGGUCUUGGGAAAUGGAGUUUUUAAAUCCUGAAGGAAUUGAACUUCCUCCACCUCCACCUCCACCUCCACCCAUGAUUCCUCCUAAUGUUGUCAUACUUGUAGCAGAAGGAAAGCCUGUUGAGCUAUUUGCGAAUACGUCAACUCCAAAACUUAUUCCCAUGGCAAGGCCUGACAAUGGAACAAAAGGGCAAAGGAUUGGUGAACAAGUCCUAUGGAGAGAAAGAAUUGCUUACUGUGGCGGUGACCAACCAUUUCAGGAAGAAUGCAAGCCCUGGGAGGGGCUCAGAGCAUGUUGGGAGUGAGGGAGACAGGAAGAGAGUUGAGAAGCAAUUUCAUUCCAAAACGUUAAAGAUCAGUUUUGAUUCCUCUUCAUUGGAAGCAGUGAGGGUUCUUGAGAUCAUCCCAAGGCAGAAUAUAGCAAAACAGUGUGUGAAUCAGCAGAUUUCCCAUGCAUCACUGUUGCGAAACUAAAGAAGCCAGCUUACUUUCCACUUGAGGAUAAUGUGUGUGAUUGCAUUAGGAAUUUGCAGAGGGAUGAAGUGAAGCCUCUUCUAAGAAAAUCGGGAAGAUUCAGAUUUCAAGGUGGAUUGGUCUGUUGGAACCAUUAUGCAUACAGGGAUUAGCCGGGGAUGUACACACGAGAGUUUUUAAAUGCUUGGGAAUUGAGGGCAAGGGAACCAGAUCAUAUACCCAUAAGACCUUCACUUUAUUAGAUACGUAUAUUUUCUCCUAUGCCUUCGGUGGAGUUAAUACGUAGGAUGCUCUAAUUUGAGCCCUUGUGCAGGUUGAGUGUGGAGAAGGAUGCAAGCAGUGACAUUCCUUUUUGCUUUGAUUAUAGUGAUUUGUAUUGCAAUAAUGGAAUAGGAUUUGACGCUCCCACCCUUAUUUUUUUACAUCAUGUGUUACGAAACCUGUCAGAAACAAAUAGGAGGAAAUAGAGAAGAAAUAAGAUGUACACGCUUGUGUUGGAUGAACGGUUCUCACGUGUAUUCUGUCACCUGUCCUGUGUUUUUCACUGCAGAUACAAUGUCCACCGUGAUAUGCCUCUCAAAGAAUUUGUUGAUUUUAUUCGGUUAAGGAUUCAGCAUGAUUUUCCAUGGAACAAGUCUAUGUUUGUCUACCUUAAGAACACCGAGCCUCCCAUUGGUACUACCUUGAUGUCUGAAGUCGAUGAGAAAAACAGGGACAAAGACGGGUUUGUUCGAAUCACCUACAGUGGAAAAGAGAAAGGAGGCUGGACCCGCUGAAGAAGCCAAUGAUCUGAGCUGCUUAGAUAUUACGUGGUUUGAAGACUUGAAACUGAUAAAAUACUUCGAUUUCACAGUUUCUCGCUCAAAACCUAAUCGUUGAAGUAUGAUAUGCACUAACUCUUCAUAAGUAACGUUAUCUGGCACAACCGUUGAUUUCACUUGACCA